GAUGAACGCUGGCGGCGUGCCUAAUACAUGCAAGUCGAGCGAACGGACGAGAAGCUCGCGCCUCUGAUGUUAGCGGCGGACGGGUGAGUAACACGCGGAUAACCUACCUAUAAGACUGGGAUAACUUCGGGAAACCGUAGCUAACACCGGAUAAUAUUUUGAACCGCAUGGUUCAAAAGUGAAAGACGGUCUUGCUGUCACUUAUAGAUGGAUCCGCGCUGCAUUAGCUAGUUGGUAAGGUAACGGCCUACCAAGGCAACGAUGCAUAGCCGACCUGAGAGGGUGAUCGGCCACACUGGAACUGAGACACGGUCCAGACUCCUACGGGAGGCAGCAGUAGGGAAUCUUCCGCAAUGGGCGAAAGCCUGACGGAGCAACGCCGCGUGAGUGAUGAAGGUCUUCGGAUCGUAAAACUCUGUUAUUAGGGAAGAACAGCUGUGUAAGUAACUGUGCACAUCUUGACGGUACCUAAUCAGAAAGCCACGGCUAACUACGUG
This 497-nucleotide ribosomal RNA is filed under the name uncultured bacterium. RNAcentral describes it as "partial 16S ribosomal RNA". It matches the Rfam family "Bacterial small subunit ribosomal RNA", at positions 28 to 507 of the family's 1533-position model. The record is from RNAcentral.